Molecule: transfer RNA, 86 nt
Filed under: Cronartium ribicola 11-2
Lineage: Eukaryota; Fungi; Basidiomycota; Pucciniomycetes; Pucciniales; Coleosporiaceae
Description: tRNA-Und (NNN) (tRNA-Und-NNN-131-1)
Rfam family: tRNA
About the family: Transfer RNA (tRNA) molecules are approximately 80 nucleotides in length. Their secondary structure includes four short double-helical elements and three loops (D, anti-codon, and T loops).
Source: RNAcentral
AACUGGAUAGCCUAAUGCUCAAAGGCAGUGCUUCUAGCACAAUGUCUCAGCAUAUGAGGUCCCAGGUUUGAAUCCUGGUCUAGUCA